GGAUGGGAGAGCGAUCGGGCUGCAACAUCUGUCACCCCAUUGAUCACCAGGGUUGGUUUGGCUGACCUGGCUGGUUAGACAGUGUCCCCUCCUCCCUCACUGCUCCGUGCGCGUUCCUCCUGAAGCUGCUCACUCGGUGGAAGAGGGCAACCUUCCCGGGGAGAGGAGGACUGGUCUUCGGGCAAGGGUAUUUGAGUAGCUGCGCUCCCCGGCUAGAACCUCCAAACAAGCUCUCAGGGCCCAUUUGUAGGAGAGCAUAGGGUUGUCAAGCUUCCAUACUCCAGACACAUCCAAAUCAGGCUCUGCAUGUGGCACUCUGCCUUCCUUC
Molecule: small nuclear RNA, 328 nt
Filed under: Vulpes vulpes (red fox)
Lineage: Eukaryota; Metazoa; Chordata; Mammalia; Carnivora; Canidae
Description: 7SK RNA (ENSVVUG00000017943.1)
Rfam family: 7SK RNA
About the family: 7SK was discovered as an abundant small nuclear RNA in the mid-70s but a possible function has only recently been suggested. Two independent studies have found that 7SK RNA binds the CDK9/cyclin T complex (known as elongation factor P-TEFb).
Source: Rfam by way of RNAcentral